Long non-coding RNA from Phacochoerus africanus (Common warthog), 936 nucleotides. RefSeq lists it as uncharacterized. The record is from RefSeq and is a predicted model, not a curated record. The transcript is spliced from 4 exons. Lineage: Eukaryota; Metazoa; Chordata; Mammalia; Artiodactyla; Suidae.
AAAAGAAAGGAAAAGAGAUUUGAUUUCUGUGGCUGAGAACCACUCCAACAGAAGAUUUUGUGAAGAAUGAGGUUGAAGCUAUUGGUACAAGUUAGAAAAAAAAUCUAGUUCUAAGACCUGCAGAAGAAAGAGCUGAACUUCAGAGGGGACCACAAAUGAAUAUGAAUUAAGAACGGGGUUCUCUUUUCAAAAGCCAACACAAAAUGAGGACAUGUUUUAUGUAAAAGCAGCUCUUCUUGCCAGUGGGCUUCCAUGUGUCCUUCUUUCAUAUAUCACAGCCAGACCUAGGAAAUUCCCUGGGAAGUGCGCUCCACCACAGUGCCUGCAGUUUCUCCAUUUGACUGGGAUUCUGUUGCACCUUGAGAGAUUUUUUUUUUUUUUUUGAUGUUUGGGAAGCUGUUACCACAAAAAUGCCCUUCCUGCAGUGAGGAAAUAGCAUGGUACCCAGAAAGACGAAGGGAGUGGACCGGGAAAUGGGAAUCUCCUACCAGUACCAGCCUGGUGGCUUUAGAAGAAUUCUGUGUGUUUUUCCUGGCCUCAGUGGCUUCAUCUGUAAAAUGGAACAGUGUGGACAUGAAAGUGAAAACAUCUGCCAUUGUGACUAUAAAUGCUUAAGAAACGAGUCCUGCCUACCUGCCUCCUUCAGUUUUCCAUCUGUAAGGUACCACUGUAUUGGGUGCUUGCUAUUUGUGGAGCAAAAAGAAUGCUGAAGCAAGAAGGCAGCCUCGAAGGGGUGCUGUUCAGAGCCAACUUACAAUUAUGAAGGAAGCCAGAUUGAAGAAAAUGCCAAAAAGUACAAAAGGGAGGGCCAAACUGAAAGAAUUUCAGACCGUCAGAGUCUGGGCCAUGAUGCACCCAAACUUCGUGAUAUAUGAGAGAUGUUCACUGUGCCCUCAAGUGGAUUCUUCUCCACCAGUCCAAAAUUUUAUCCCAGGU